AUGGGACUGGAAAUCAAUGGAUUUAAUGGGUUUCUUGAAGACUUGUUCUUGGUCAGUGGGGGAAAUCAGAGGUCUGACUUCCUGCACGCUUUUGUGUACUCAAGGAGUGAUAAGGCAUCUGUGUUUGCCACGCUUACUGCACUGCAUGGGGACGAGGUCAGCCCAAGGAAGCCUUCCAGCUCCCUGCAGGUGCAGUGUUUAAAGACGAAGCUGAUUCUUCUGACAGGAAGAUUUGCUUUCACACGUCUGGAGCUGUGCUGGUAGGAUCACCCAUAGGCUGCUUUGCCGUGCUCUGGAGCAGUUGGUGGACACUGCAGGGUGAUUCAUUUAAAUGGAAAAAUGUGAACUACAGGAAAGAUAUGGGACGAAGAUGCAUCCUGUGUGCUCCCACAAGUAGAUGAACAACAAAUGGAGGCGGUUGUUUUCCCAGCAGUAUAGAAUCCAGGCAGAUAUAUGCAUCAGUCACCUGGAAGAGAAGGGAGAGAAUGAAUAUCUUGUCUUCAAAAGACAUCAGAAUGCCAAAGCAGCUCCUCCAGGAGGGCAGUACCAAGCCCUGCACCAGUCACACAGGUUCAGCUCAUGCUCAGAAAUGUAACUUUGCAGUGUAGAGCUCUCUGCUACUCAUAAAUGCUGCUUCCUUGCAGCUGGGUUGCAGCUGGUAAAGUCCUUGCUGACUUUAAUAUAUUUUGCAUUUAUCAGAAGUUGUUUUCUUCUUGUCUUGAAUUUUGCCCCUGUCCAGUAGCAGCCGCUUUGUGCAAACUCACUUUUCCCAGUUUUUAGGAAAAGGGAACCUUCAUCUGUAGGAAUAUGAGCAAGAUAUUGAUAGGGAUUUCUGCAGGGGAAGGCGCAGUUCAGGGUGUGUGGCCUUAGGGCAUAAAUUCCUGGGUCGGCUGAUGCUGAAUUGCACUGUGGUUUCCUAAUACAUGGGGAAAUGGAGAACUGAAGCUUCCAAGGAAAUCCUUUGUUUUAUUCAGAAGAAAGCCUGAAAUCAUCUUGCUCCAUUUUUAUCCAGUGUUUAUGGUUAAUUGGAAUGUGACUAACUCAGGAAAUGAAUUAUUUAAAUUAGAUAAAUGCAGUGUUUUGGCAAGUUUUUCAUGAAAUGUUAGUGAAUAUAUACUUUCUCCUCGUGGCAGUUUGCGUUUUGCCAUUGUAUUCCUUGUUGGGACGAUCUCACGUUCUUUCAAAGGGCCCAGUAAGACCAAAUCAGAAUGUUUUCAGCCUGUGUACGAGCUUGCAUAGCACAUGAGCUGAAAUCAUCCAACGUUUGUUUUUGAAUGCUGAAUCAGUC
This 1288-nucleotide long non-coding RNA is filed under the name Phasianus colchicus (ring-necked pheasant). RNAcentral describes it as "lncRNA (ENSPCLG00000010983.1)". Lineage: Eukaryota; Metazoa; Chordata; Aves; Galliformes; Phasianidae. The record is from RNAcentral.